AAAAAACUUUAAUUUGAAGGCAAACUCUAAUUGUUGCUUGUACAGUUGAUAAGAUACUCUACUAUUAAUUGGCUUAAAGCAUGGUAUUCCGAUUCUUAUUUUGGAAUCUUAGCAUAUCGAUUUACUGUUUUCUUCUUUUACCAAAUAAACUUAUAGGUUUACCAAGUGAACUAAGAAAAGAACAGAAAAUAAACUCUAGUUUAAGUAAAUGGACAAGGCCUGCUAACGCUCGGAUGGAAAAAGAAAAACAAUUUUUCGAUAAAUUUACCGUAACUGUAUUACCUUACCAUGACAAUGCCCAUGAGUUACCACUGUUUGAUAAUUUUUUCAAAAAUAAUGUUACUAGCAAUAAUAAGAAUGAUUCGCGGGUAA
This is a long non-coding RNA of Copidosoma floridanum, 372 nucleotides long. Lineage: Eukaryota; Metazoa; Arthropoda; Insecta; Hymenoptera; Encyrtidae. The record is from RefSeq and is a predicted model, not a curated record.